UACGUAGGGUGCAAGCGUUGUCCGGAAUUAUUGGGCGUAAAGAGCUCGUAGGUGGCCUGUCGCGUCGGCUGUGAAAACUCGGGGGCUCAACUCCGAGCUUGCAGUCGAUACGGGGCAGGCUAGAGUUCGGCAGGGGGAGACUGGAAUUCCUGGUGUAGCGGUGAAAUGCGCAGAUAUCAGGAGGAACACCGAUGGCGAAGGCAGAUCUCUGGGCCAUUACUGACGUGAGGAGCGAAAGCGUGGGGAGCGAACAGG
Molecule: ribosomal RNA, 255 nt
Filed under: uncultured bacterium
Lineage: Bacteria
Description: partial 16S ribosomal RNA
Rfam family: Bacterial small subunit ribosomal RNA
Source: RNAcentral